GACAGAGGGUGCAAACGUUGCUCGGAUUUACUGGGCGUAAAGCGUGAGUAGGCGGUCUUGUAAGUCGGGUGUGAAAACCCAGGGCUCAACCCUGGCAGUGCACACGAUACUGCGAGACUGGGGUACUGAAGAGGAGAGCGGAAUUCUCGGUGUAGAGGUGAAAUUCGUAGAUAUCGGGAGGAACACCAGUGGCGAAGGCGGCUCUCUGGGCAGAUACCGACGCUGAGACGCGAAAGCGUGGGAAGCAAACAGG
RNAcentral lists this ribosomal RNA (253 nucleotides) under uncultured bacterium. RNAcentral's name for it is "partial 16S ribosomal RNA". It matches the Rfam family "Bacterial small subunit ribosomal RNA", at positions 524 to 776 of the family's 1533-position model. The record is from RNAcentral.